This 107-nucleotide ribosomal RNA is filed under the name uncultured bacterium. Its description in RNAcentral is "partial 16S ribosomal RNA". It matches the Rfam family "Bacterial small subunit ribosomal RNA", at positions 1360 to 1482 of the family's 1533-position model. The record is from RNAcentral.
CGUUGAAUACGUUCUCGGGUCCUGUACUCACCGCCCGUCACACCACGGAAGUUGACAAUGCCCAAAGCUCCCUUACGGGGGUUAAGGCAGGGCCAAUGACUAGGGUG